This 5722-nucleotide long non-coding RNA is filed under the name Gallus gallus (chicken). The record is from RNAcentral. Lineage: Eukaryota; Metazoa; Chordata; Aves; Galliformes; Phasianidae.
UGUUUCUUGAUGAGACAAGGCACUCUCCUUUUUUUCCUUCAGGUGUAAUCUUGGCGUGGCUUGUCAAAAUGAUGUAAACAUAUAUAACAUAGCUAAAGAUAUAUGCAGUACAGCAUGUAACUAAGCUAUAAGAUUAUUGCUCUGAAAAGAAAAUGAUAUAAUAGCAAGUUCAUGUAGAUUUUCCAGGUUAGUAAAUUUGCAUUGUAAAAAUGUAUGGAUAUGUCAACACAUUAUAUCCUGAAAAAUAUGCAAUAUCUUUGGACUUCAGAGAAUGUUUCAAUUUCCCAAAUACUUCAGCAUAUCAUUUAUGCAAGCGUUUUGCAUGGAGUUCUAUUUGUUCUCAAUCAGAAUACUUUGAACAAGUUUUCUUUUGUGUCCAAGUCAUAUUUGAUGUGUUGUAUGUAAUAAAACAAAAUCUUGUAAGCACUGUCUUAUUACUGAUCUUGGUACAUUGUAAAGACAAAUAUACAAUAUCCUCUACUAUAGAAGGGUUGUGAUUGAGCCUAUAGAAGAUCUGGUCCAUCUAAAUGGGUGAUUAAACUGGCAUUAGCUUUGUGGAGGCAGGCUUAUGCAUAGUAUACCAGUGAAAGCUGAAGUAGUUUGGAAGGGGCAGUUCAUUCAAAAAGACCAAGCUGUACAGCUGUUCUUUAUUUUCAGUGAGGAUGUGAAACACUUAUUUGCUAUUUAACAAAAGUUUCAAGGACAAUAUUUAUAUCACCACACACCUCUACAGUCUUGAAUAAUCUGUAAAUGGUUGUACUGAGUCACUGAAAUACUCCUAUAUUAGAGCAAGUUUCUUUUGAAGCAGGUGGGACAUAGGAUGGGGCCAAAAAAAUUUCAGUAUAACGUCUGUUUUAAAAAAGGCUGGAUUAGGUUGUUAUUGGUAUUCACAGUAUUGACUCUUUUCUGAGUGAUUUACUAUACAGAUGCUUUUUGUUGUUGUUGCAAAAUAUGGGGUAAAAUUUUCAGUUCUGAAGAACUUGCAUUGUGUCUGAAAUUUGCCUGAUUGCAGUAAAACACAUGAGACUGUAUGCUAUAUAUGGUCAGUAGGAACUCAAGCACUGUUUUUGUUUUUUUUUCCUCUGUGGGCAUUCAUUUUUGGACCAUAAAAGGCUUUCUCUCUUUCUACUUAUCUUUUGGAAAGAGGUAAAUCUAUCAGACAAUAGUAUUUUUUAUGUACUAAUAUGUAAGUACUUAAUGUUUUUAUAUCUAUUACUUAUACAAAAGUCUGUUUUUGUACAUACACCUGGCUAAUACAGGGGAAGUGACAAGAUAACUUUAAGAUUUUCCUAACUUCGCCAAACCAUAAUCAAAUCAUUACUCUGUUUAAAAAGUACAAUUUUAUUAAGCAGCCUCUUAUGAAAAGGGUGAGUUUGUCCAAUCCUUGUCAUACUCUGACAGAGCAGGUAAUAGAAUUGUACCUCCACUGAUUUUUAAAAUUAAUUUAAGGUACCUAUUUGUAUACUUGAGUGGUAAUAUUUUGAAGGUGUUUGGUCUCUGCCUGUGAAGGGUGUCAAUUUGUUUUCAGGUAGCUAUCAUGUUCACAACAUGCUUAUGUGAACAAAAAGUAGUAGUAGUACUUCGGUGACCAAUGACCACAUUUGGUUUAAGACUGACUGCAGCUACGGCUACGGUAUUCUCUAUAGGUAAUGAAGUAAUGAAAUAGUCUCCUUGUGAACAGGCAUGAUGUUUUUAUUUUAUUUCUUGAGCAACUGGCUAUGGUAGUAAUGCUCCUGCUGUUCUGUUACAUUCUGGUAGCACUUAGAGACCUCAGACAUGAAGGUAUAAAUUCUACCCUAGUAAAUGAUUUUAAAAUUUCAGCUAGGUAUCCUUUUUAAGGCUAUAUGAUUUUUUUUAAUGUGUGGAGCUUGCAUAAGCUCUGAUGAAUAGUGUUUGACUCUGCACCGCUUAGCUAUCAAAGCUGCAGAAGCAUGUAUUUAUACUUAGUUUUAAGUAUUCAAAAGAUAGUCCCAAAUGGUAUUUGACCAACUCUCCAUUUUUCCUGGGACUAUGUGCAUUUUGACAGUGGCAGAUCAGGUACCUCAAAAUUUACCUUACCCAAGAGCCUCUCCCUGCAAAGCAAAGGAAGCCCACACAGUAGUCUUGUCCAUGAAGCACGCUUGAGAAAUACCAGAGUUCUAAGCACCCAUCCUUCGAAGGAAAGUAAGUCAACAGUAGCUACUGAAACAAUACUCAGGCUUUUCCUGCCCUCUUCUAUUUGGAUAGAACUGAUUUCUAAAUGUGAUAUUCUAGAACUUAAGUUUGAAAAUUUCAAAAUUCUGUCUACUGUGUUUUCCAUUUCCUUAUCUCCACCCUUGCUUUUUUCAUAUGGCUUCAAAGAAUGAGUUGUGUACACUAAUACAAGGCUUUCAACUGACAGCAACAAAGACAGCAGUGGAUGUAUUGUGUGUUUUGAGAAUAAAAACUUAAUUCUUCAAAAUCACAAAAUUAGCGUGGACUAAAAUUGAAGGCCAACUACAUGUGAAAAACUACAUGUCCUAUCAGAGUGGUGUAUUUUUCCUCUUUGGUUUUACUAUAUCUCUUUGGUGUAUUUGCACUGAUGGGAUAAAAGAUCAUGUAGAAUCAACAGCUGUAGAAAACCAUAUGAAAAUCAAUAUUUAUUUUUUUUUAUUUCUCAGCAUACAAGCAUAAAUAAUAUAUCACAAUCAUUUCAAGGGCCGUUCAGUUCAUUUCAUCGUUGUAUGUGUUGAAUGAUCAUAGGGCUACUUACAUAAGAUGAGCUUUUUUCAUAUCUCCAUUUCUAAGUGUUAGAAAUUCAGCACUGCAAGUUUAAAUAUCAAAAUAACCGGAAAAUGUAAAAUCUACCAGGUGAAAGCUAAUGAGAAAUUUAGAAAAGAAGAAACACAAAGACUUCUCCUUGGAUCACUAUGGUAUGCUCAAAGCACAUCACUGAAUUUUGUUGACAGGAUAAAAAGGAAUGAUGUGAACACUGGGCAGUUAUGUCAGUAGUAAAAAUAUACAAUAGAGUAUGUUCCUGAUGGAUAAAGUAUUUAGUAGGCUAUAGACAUAAGGUUACAUCUCCCUAAAUGGUGAUAGCCAAUUAAGACUGCACCAUCAUGCACGUGUAUGCAUAAUUGGGUAUGCAGGAUAUGUAUAUGUAUAUAUUCAAAAAUAUGUAUAGAUAUUUGAGUUAAUUUUCCUUAAAUGUACUACUUUACAUUUAUCAACAAAGAGUUUCAUUUGUUAUUUUACAAGCUUUAUUUGAUAUGAUAAGAUACUCUAUUACUUUCCUGAGACUUUUGGCUUUGCAAAUCAUUUGUUGUGAUACUGUCAAUAGUUUAUUAAUUAUUUGAUCUAACAAAAAGGUAUUUUGAGUAAAAGAGGGCCUGGCAUUGAUCUCCGUAUGAUUGCUCAUCAAACCCAAAUGUUAGUUUCUCACUCUUAGUUUUUUCUCUUUUUAACUAGUUGUUAAUGGUUCUAUUUUAUCCCAAGAGCAUGCUGGAAGCCAAAGUAACCAACAUGAGAUGGCAGAUGGUGCUGACUUGCACUCAGCUCCCUCAUGGAAGAAUUUCUGUACCAAACUUAUGCAGAGAGUUAAAAUACAUUCUUAAGUUCUAUUUGGAUAUCUCUGAUAUUUGAUAUUGCUGUUAUAAUUUCCACAAAUAUUCUUUGAAGACAAAGAAUUUCACUUAUGAAGCUGACAGUUUGCUGACAUCUGCCCCAGUACAUCCGAGACUUUUGACUUAGCCUGUAUAUAUCCAGCCUCAUAUAUUGCUUAAUGAGUUAGUAACAACACACAUGGAUCUAGGAGGAUAACGUAUGUGCACAUAUACAUUAGAUGUAUGUUAUAAACAAGUUAGAGAUGCUAUCCAGUCAUGUUCCCUAUAGGAUACUACCUUAUUGCUAACACAAAUAAGGUGUUACAGCACGCACUUCUUGAUAAGACUGUCUGGCUGGUUUAAGGGCUGAUUUGGCCCGGUUCCAUGACCAGCGGGGUGGAGGGACCCACAGAUCUACACCUCUGGAAAAGGGGAUAAGGGAAAAAGGGCAGAGAGAUUGGGGCCCCCAAAAUAACAGCGGCAAUAAUCUGAGGAGAAACAAACUAAUUUACUAAAUGAGAUAUUGGAAUGCAAGAUAACACACUAUAAUACAAUAUAAUUAGAAUUGGAGCUAAUAAAUCAAAUAAAAUGGGAGAGAGUGUCUGAAAGCCAAAGGCCUUACUCUAAUGCUGAGGCGAGGCGUGCGGUCAGGAUGAGCAGAAGGGAGGAGAGCCCAGUCUCAUGACCUUGCCAGGGGCUUUAUCUCCCCUCUGAACGCAAAGUCCUCUGGGGAAUGUAGUUCUUCUCUUCUGGACAGGUGCCCGGACCUGGAGCAUUGACUCUUUAACUCCCAGUGCACCACAUGAUGUUACGAUGUGGAAGACCGAUAACCAAAAAUCAUAAAACCAUGACAAUGGCCAAACUUAUUUCAUUUAUAAGCAGCUGUCUUCCGUACCACUUCAAGUGCAUAAGUAGAAUAACUGUGACUUUCACUUUUGCAUUGUGGAAAAAGGACAGACAAUUUUGUCCUCAGUAAGCAUUCUUUUUUGUCUAAUGAAAGCUUACUUUGUUUCCCCAAUCUUGCUUUUCUUGCAUCACAAGCCUUUAAACCAAAUCAAAAGCUUUCACAACAGUACUGUACAACUUUGUAACGUCUAUGAGCAUAGUGCAAAUUAUUAUAUUGUUAUUCUUCCUUAUUAUUUACAACUUUUACAGCUUAAAUAUUUAUAAUGGCAUUUGUACAAUUUAUAUAAAAAUUCUAAAAAUCAAAACAGAAGAAAACACAUUCUUAUGUUGCUUCCUCAGUAAGAGGAAUUACAAACUCAUUAGGUUUUAAUACCUCUGCAUUUACUUUGUAUUCCAGAUAAAACUAGUUAUAAUCACUUGGCAGCACUUGAGAAGUCAUCUCAGUACAAUUAUUGUAGCUGCAUGCUUAGUAAUAGAUCCCAGAUUUCUGUAGGUGUUAGACGAAUAAACCCCAACAAUGUAGAAAAAUGUUUUCCUGUUUGUACACUGACUUCUUGAAGGAUGUCUGUAUGUCUCUUUGGCCACUGUUUCUCUGAUGGAUCAAACGCUGCACCUUGGUCACUGAAUUUGACUUUCAGAAUUCCCCAGAAUUAGCUUAUAGUUGAUCGUCAUAGAUAGCAACAGAGGAGUUUUGAGUCACUUUCUUGUCUUGUCCAGGCUAAGUUGUCAGUCUUUUAUUAUUAAUCAGAUCUGAACUGACAUCGGUCAUGAAAGGUUCAUUCCAACUGCUAAAUACGUUCCUAACAGUGUCAAGAGAGAAUUGACAAGUAUGCCAUUUUCAAAUAUCUGUUCCAUGCCAUGGACUGAUUUAAAAAAAGCAUAUUUGGUCUUCCACUACGUUGUCUCUCUACCAGAAAGGUCUCUUGGUUUCCUCUGCACUCAAGGUGUUAGGUGCCAUCUGAGUAACCUUAAAAUGUCUAAGAUUGUUUGUAGGAAUACAUCAGCAAUGCAUACAAGCUGUGCCUUAUGUUUAAAAAUCAGUCAUGAGAAUUCCUUGGAAGGAGUGUAGCUUAAGUACCUGAAGGAUAGCUGUCACUGCUAGAAGCCCUUUCGUUGUUUUCCUGUUUGUUCUUUUAUUUGCUUAAUCUGCGGCUGUACAGAAUACAUCCGUCUCUGGUGUGAGCACAUGGUGUGAGUCUUAUUGGUCUAGUGAACACUAGGAACAGAUAACUUUCUUUAUCUACUUCUCUUGGGUG